CCUGUUGUUUGACCAACAGUAGCCUAGGGAUAGUGCGGGACUGGUAACGGUCUGGUGCGGAGCUUCCUGACAAUGUACCCCUUCGUAAGAAGUUGAUAGUACCCGUGAGGGUAGGAUUAGGAGACUGCCAGCAACAAGGUGGUUGAGGG
Molecule: non-coding RNA, 149 nt
Filed under: Hafnia alvei
Lineage: Bacteria; Pseudomonadati; Pseudomonadota; Gammaproteobacteria; Enterobacterales; Hafniaceae
Source: RNAcentral